This 91-nucleotide small nucleolar RNA is filed under the name Cladophialophora immunda. RNAcentral describes it as "Cladophialophora sp. HB-2008 A. fumigatus snoRNA Afu_300". It matches the Rfam family "A. fumigatus snoRNA Afu_300". Lineage: Eukaryota; Fungi; Ascomycota; Eurotiomycetes; Chaetothyriales; Herpotrichiellaceae. The record is from Rfam by way of RNAcentral.
CUUUAUGAUGAUUGUUUCGAAUAAUAUACGCUGGAAAUUACCGGCAGAGGCCUUCGGGCUGUGGAAGAUAACAAAAUGGCUAUAUCUGAUC